GCAAGUCAAAGGAAAGUGACUUCGGUUACAAGUACUUGGCGCACGGGUGAGUAAGGUAUAGGUAAUUUGCCUACAGGACCGGGAUAACCCCGAGAAAUCGGGGACAAUACCGGAUGAUGCAGCGGAACCGCAUAGUUAUGUUGUUAAAACAGGAAGGGGCUGUAGAUAAGCCUAUAUACCAUCAGGUAGUUGGCAGGGUAAUGGCCUGCCAAGCCUACGACGGAUAGCUGGUCUGAGAGGAUGAUC
Molecule: ribosomal RNA, 246 nt
Filed under: uncultured bacterium
Lineage: Bacteria
Description: partial 16S ribosomal RNA
Rfam family: Bacterial small subunit ribosomal RNA
Source: RNAcentral